Molecule: non-coding RNA, 285 nt
Organism: Plectropomus leopardus (leopard coralgrouper)
Lineage: Eukaryota; Metazoa; Chordata; Actinopteri; Perciformes; Serranidae
Source: RefSeq, a predicted model, not a curated record
CUCUGCAGCUCUGAAGGUGGACAGAGAGCAGUCUGAUGGACCUGCAGCUCCCGUCAGGUCGGCGGCGUCCUUCAGGGCCGACUCCAAGAGCUUCAGGAACGACGACCUGUUCCAGAAGGUGGUCAGCAGCCGCUCCAGCAGGACGAUGAAGCAGUGAGACGUCCGCAGAAAGUCCGAGGAACCAAAGAGCAGAACGUGUUCCCGCCCCAAAGGGUCAAAGGUCACAGAGAUGAGAGGAAAAAUCCUCCUCGAUUUUUUUCUUUUUUUCUUUCCACUCUGAACUGA